Molecule: ribosomal RNA, 240 nt
Filed under: uncultured bacterium
Lineage: Bacteria
Description: partial 16S ribosomal RNA
Rfam family: Bacterial small subunit ribosomal RNA
Source: RNAcentral
UGUACCUACGGGAGGCAGCAGUGGGGAAUAUUGCACAAUGGGGGAAACCCUGAUGCAGCGACGCCGCGUGAGAGAAGAAGUAAUUCGUUAUGUAAAGCUCUAUCAGCAGGGAAGAGAAUGACGGUACCUGAGUAAGAAGCCCCGGCUAACUACGUGCCAGCAGCCGCGGUAAUACGUAGGGGGCAAGCGCUAUCCGGAUUUACUGGGUGUAAAGGGAGCGUAGACGGCAGAGCAAGUCUG